RNAcentral lists this ribosomal RNA (747 nucleotides) under uncultured Comamonadaceae bacterium. Its description in RNAcentral is "bacterial SSU rRNA". It matches the Rfam family "Bacterial small subunit ribosomal RNA", at positions 28 to 772 of the family's 1533-position model. The record is from RNAcentral. Lineage: Bacteria; Pseudomonadati; Pseudomonadota; Betaproteobacteria; Burkholderiales; Comamonadaceae.
AUUGAACGCUGGCGGCAUGCCUUACACAUGCAAGUCGAACGGCAGCACGGGAGCAAUCCUGGUGGCGAGUGGCGAACGGGUGAGUAAUACAUCGGAACGUGCCCAAUCGUGGGGGAUAACGCAGCGAAAGCUGUGCUAAUACCGCAUACGAUCUACGGAUGAAAGCAGGGGAUCGCAAGACCUUGCGCGAAUGGAGCGGCCGAUGGCAGAUUAGGUAGUUGGUGAGGUAAAGGCUCACCAAGCCGUCGAUCUGUAGCUGGUCUGAGAGGACGACCAGCCACACUGGGACUGAGACACGGCCCAGACCCCUACGGGAGGCAGCAGUGGGGAAUUUUGGACAAUGGGCGAAAGCCUGAUCCAGCCAUGCCGCGUGCAGGAUGAAGGCCUUCGGGUUGUAAACUGCUUUUGUACGGAACGAAACGGCCUUUUCUAAUAAAGAGGGCUAAUGACGGUACCGUAAGAAUAAGCACCGGCUAACUACGUGCCAGCAGCCGCGGUAAUACGUAGGGUGCAAGCGUUAAUCGGAAUUACUGGGCGUAAAGCGUGCGCAGGCGGUUAUGUAAGACAGUUGUGAAAUCCCCGGGCUCAACCUGGGAACUGCAUCUGUGACUGCAUAGCUAGAGUACGGUAGAGGGGGAUGGAAUUCCGCGUGUAGCAGUGAAAUGCGUGAUAUGCGGAGGAACACCGAUGGCGAAGGCAUCUCCUGGACCUGUACUGACGCUCAUGCACCAAAGAGUGGGGGAGGAA